RNAcentral lists this ribosomal RNA (497 nucleotides) under uncultured bacterium. RNAcentral describes it as "partial 16S ribosomal RNA". It matches the Rfam family "Bacterial small subunit ribosomal RNA", at positions 28 to 507 of the family's 1533-position model. The record is from RNAcentral.
GACGAACGCUGGCGGCGUGCCUAAUACAUGCAAGUAGAACGCUGAAGGAAGGAGCUUGCUCUUUCUGGCUGAGUUGCGAACGGGUGAGUAACGCGUAGGUAACCUGCCUGGUAGCGGGGGAUAACUAUUGGAAACGAUAGCUAAUACCGCAUAAAAUUGAUUAUUGCAUGAUAGUCAAUUAAAAGGUGCAACUGCACCACUACCAGAUGGACCUGCGUUGUAUUAGCUAGUUGGUGGGGUAACGGCUCACCAAGGCGACGAUACAUAGCCGACCUGAGAGGGUGAUCGGCCACACUGGGACUGAGACACGGCCCAGACUCCUACGGGAGGCAGCAGUAGGGAAUCUUCGGCAAUGGACGGAAGUCUGACCGAGCAACGCCGCGGGAGUGAAGAAGGGUUUCGGAUCGUAAAGCUCUGUUGUAAGAGAAGAACGAGUGUGAGAGUGGAAAGUUCACACUGUGACGGUAUCUUGCCAGAAAGGGACGGCUAACUACGUG